RNAcentral lists this long non-coding RNA (200 nucleotides) under Elaeis guineensis (African oil palm). RNAcentral describes it as "long non-coding RNA (EGUI_LNC021248)". Lineage: Eukaryota; Viridiplantae; Streptophyta; Magnoliopsida; Arecales; Arecaceae. The record is from RNAcentral.
UCUGGUGAUUGUCAAGAGCAGGAAGAAGGAUGGGCCUUCUAAAGGUAUGUCUAAAAUGCUCGUUAUUGUAACUAAUCUAAUGAUUUUUUUUUUCUUCUAGUUAGGUUUUUGAUUCGGGUUCAAGUGCUUAUUUGUGCAUUUCAAUGCAGAACCUUGAAGAAAUUAGGGGGCUGAGGGAAGGUGAGAUCACUUUUCGAGUC